GUCCCUUCUGUUCUCCUCGGGCUCGGAAGUAGAAAGGAUGGUGUCCGUGUGGAGGCGCUGUGUUUCGUGGGUGUGAGACACGGAUACAUCUGUGUGAGGAUCACAAAGCCGACAGAUUGGUGGCCGCUGUGGCGAGGUCGACCAGAUGGCCCGACAGGUUGUUGGGGAUUUUUGUUACCAUUUGUGUUGUAAUUUUAUCCACAGAGUAUCCAAUUGAAGACGACCGGAGAAGGAUGUUGAAGUGAAGAACUUUCUUAACACACUGAGAAGUUGGGGAACCUCUCCUUCUAGCCACGAGGCCCUGCCCUGCAGCAACCGACCUGGAAAACCAGACCCCAGCCCCUGCAGGAUUCAGUGAGUGGCCCAGAACUGAUGAUUACACAACUCAGUUUAAACUCUGUGAAAGUGAAGCUGCUCAGUCAUGCCUGACUCUUUGCAACCCCAUGGACUGUAGCCUACCAGGCUCCUCUGUCCAUGGGAUAUUUCAGGCAAGAGUACUGGAGUGGGUUGCCAUUUCCUUCUCCAGGGGAUCUUCCCAAGCCAGGGAUCCAGCCCGGGUCUCCCACAUUGUAGGGAGAUGCUUUGCCAUCUGAGCCACUUAAACUCUGUACUAGGGAUUAUAUAACAACAAUGUAUCCUGCUUGAGGACAGUUUCUCCUUCCUGAAAACCUUCUGAUUAAUCCUGAUAUCUUAGAAUGUAUAUUAUGGGAAUGGGUCUGGUAGGAUCUUUCUGUUAAAUUCUAGUCCUGUUAUCCUAAAAUGUUAAUUGUGGGAGUGGGUCUGGUAAAACUUUCACACACUUGAGACAUUCUUUUGAUUUACUGUAGUAACUAAUUUAAAAAGUAUACACCUCCCUUGCUAACACUAGCAAGGGGGGGCACUCCCCACCCCCUUCUGCUGUCCAUGUCAGAAGCUUUCUCUGACCUUUUCCCACUGUCAUGAAACUCUGCUACACAAACGCUCUUGAGUGAUCAAUCCUGGUCCCUGGUCCUGAAGCUAAAUCUUCUUCGGAGAUCCUGAAUCCGACAUCGUUCACAGUAAGCUCGAUUGAAUCUAUAACAAUCUCUUAAAAGCCAAAUAUAAUCUUAAAAUAAGCUAUGCCGCUGCUAAGUCACUUCAGUCGUGUCCGACUCUGUGCGACCCCACAGAUGGCAGCCCACCAGACUCCCCUGCCCCUGGGAUUCUCCAGGCAAGAACACUGGAGUGGGUUGCCAUUUGAAAAAUGAGAGUGAAGUCUCUCAGUUGUGUCCGACUCUUAGCGACCCCAUGGACCGCAGCCUACAAGGCUCCUCCAUCCAUGGGAUUUUCCAGGCAAGAGUACUGGAGUGGGGUGCCAUUGCCUUCUCCAAAAUAAGCUAAACGCCCUAUUAAAAUAAAAUAAAAUUCAACUGACUAAAAUUUUAAAAU
Molecule: long non-coding RNA, 1407 nt
Filed under: Bos indicus x Bos taurus (hybrid cattle)
Lineage: Eukaryota; Metazoa; Chordata; Mammalia; Artiodactyla; Bovidae
Description: lncRNA (ENSBIXG00005002976.1)
Source: RNAcentral